RNAcentral lists this long non-coding RNA (362 nucleotides) under Elaeis guineensis (African oil palm). RNAcentral's name for it is "long non-coding RNA (EGUI_LNC071076)". Lineage: Eukaryota; Viridiplantae; Streptophyta; Magnoliopsida; Arecales; Arecaceae. The record is from RNAcentral.
UGGGCCUCCAGUGAUUAUUAAACUAAUGGACUCAUUAUCACUCACUUAAUGGGAGGCUAUGACUUAGUUAUCAGUAUAACUUAAUCAUUUUUAGGGACCUAAUAAUUUUUGAGGAUUUUAUUAAAGGAUAGAAGAGAAAAAAUUAAUCAGCCAAUUUCAAUCCUCCCACUGACUUCACCAAGUCAGAUUAAAAAGGAUUUAAUUAAAGCCGGCAUUAGGAGCACCUAAAUCAGUCACACUGAUUUACCUAAUGACAUGGGUGAGCCCUAAUCACCAAGUGAUCUAAUCAAAACCUAACUCACCAGGUUGGCCAGGAAAGUGAGAUCAGUGGUGGGGAUAUGCUAUUAACUCGUUAGAGAUUG